This is a long non-coding RNA of Myotis brandtii (Brandt's bat), 895 nucleotides long. RefSeq lists it as uncharacterized. NCBI's taxonomy places the organism in Eukaryota, Metazoa, Chordata, Mammalia, Chiroptera, Vespertilionidae. The record is from RefSeq and is a predicted model, not a curated record. The transcript is spliced from 4 exons.
AUUUGUAGAAUGGGGGUCCCCAGCCCCUACGUCAGAGACAGGAAAAUAUCCAGAAAACUUCGAACAGUGUGGACUCUGUGGGAAGGACACGAAGGCCCGGAAACAUGAAGUGGCCGCCCAAGGGGCUCAGCUAGCGCCGGGCAGGACGAGAAGGGCAAGUGAAUGAAUGUUGGGAGUGGAGAGAAGUGAGGACAAGAAGUAGCACCAUCAGGACUUACAGGUAUACCUCGGAGAUAUUGUGGACUUGGUUCCAGACUAUUGCAAUAAAAAGCUUGUUCCUGUCCUUGUGGUUUGCUGUUUGGAAAAUCACCUUAAUGCAGGUGAGUCAACACAGGUGGACACGAAGAAGCGUCAUUUGGAACUGGAACUUCACACGUGAACGUGCUGAGGCUUUCUGCUGCUGGAGGGUCCGGGUUCUGUUUCUUAGCAUCUCCGUGUUUUUACUAGAAUCCAUCUCAGAAGCGAUGAAAGAAGAGCCUUUCUCUUAAAAACUGUCGUAGUACUCACCUAUUUUGGACAACACCCUCCUUUAGGAGAAGAACUAUCAAUAGUAAAAAUCAGUAUUUGGUCCGAGGGUGGGUGGUAAGGGUAGGGGGUUCCUCUUCAUUCCUUUUAUACAGGGUGUCCCCAAAAAAUGUAUACACACUUUGAAUGAUCAUAAAGUCAGUGUUUAUUAACAUACAGUUCAUUUUCAAAAAUUUAAAAGAAUCAACAGAAAUGAAUAAUGUUCUUGUCCAUGCCUGUUUUCAAACUCAUGAUCAUUCUGGUCCAGGCACUGCUGAUAACUCGAAGCAAUGGAAUCACAAACAUCAAGAAUCAUUUUGUUCAGUAUUUGUGCGCCCUCAAUUCGUCUACUGUUGCCAGUUCUGUACCAUAAACUUUAUGUAUCCCCAUA